AUGAUUGUGCCACUGCAAACUCUACCCCUAAAAAACAAAAACACAGUUUUAAAAUGGUGCAGCCCCGGAAACCACAAGGAGGAGGUUCAGUAUUCUCUCCGGAGCGUGAAGUUGGCUCUUGAUGUUGCUUCACUGCAACUGCUGUUUGCCAUUGAUGAUUGUUCUUCUCUUCCUCUUAGAGAGUAAGAGGGAGAGGAGGCAGUCUGAGUGGU
Small nucleolar RNA from Callithrix jacchus (white-tufted-ear marmoset), 212 nucleotides. Its record names the gene U3. It matches the Rfam family "Small nucleolar RNA U3". From Rfam's summary of the family: Small nucleolar RNAs (snoRNAs) are involved in the processing and modification of rRNA in the nucleolus. There are two main classes of snoRNAs: the box C/D class, and the box H/ACA class. The record is from Ensembl. Lineage: Eukaryota; Metazoa; Chordata; Mammalia; Primates; Cebidae.